AGCGGAGUAGAGCAGUGGCAGCUCGAAUGCCUCAUAAGCAUUAGGUCGCUGGUUCGAAUCCAGUCUCCGCAA
RNAcentral lists this transfer RNA (72 nucleotides) under archaeon. Its description in RNAcentral is "tRNA-Met". It matches the Rfam family "tRNA". From Rfam's summary of the family: Transfer RNA (tRNA) molecules are approximately 80 nucleotides in length. Their secondary structure includes four short double-helical elements and three loops (D, anti-codon, and T loops). Further hydrogen bonds mediate the characteristic L-shaped molecular structure. tRNAs have two regions of fundamental functional importance: the anti-codon, which is responsible for specific mRNA codon recognition, and the 3' end, to which the tRNAs corresponding amino acid is attached (by aminoacyl-tRNA synthetases). tRNAs cope with the degeneracy of the genetic code in two manners: having more than one tRNA (with a specific anti-codon) for a particular amino acid; and 'wobble' base-pairing, i.e. permitting non-standard base-pairing at the 3rd anti-codon position. The record is from RNAcentral.